Molecule: long non-coding RNA, 2647 nt
Organism: Equus caballus (horse)
Lineage: Eukaryota; Metazoa; Chordata; Mammalia; Perissodactyla; Equidae
Source: Ensembl
UUGCCAAAUUAGCAUUUCAAGAGUAAGUACAGUCAUGUGCAGCAUAACGACUUUUCAGUCAACAAUGGACUGAAUAUACGAUGGUGGUCCCAUAAGGUUAGUUCUAUAUAGCCUAGGUGUGUAGUAGGCUAAUACCAUGUAGAUGUGUGUAAGUACACUCUGCGAUGUUCACGAUGAAAUCGCCUAACAACGCAUUUCUCACAGCGUGUCCCCGUCAUUAAGUGAUGCACGACUGUACCUCUUUCAGACACCUCUUCUGAUCAGAACUCUCCACAUUCCCCACUCAUCUGCAAGGUGUGCCUUCCAAAUAUCCUUAGCGUGAUAUGCAAAGCCUUCCAUAAUCUACCCUCUUCCUACCUUUACAGCCUGUUUCACUAUAUCCUGGCUAAGUUUUUUACUUCAGCAAAUCAACCUAUUUGCUAGCCCCUGCACACACCUUGUAUAUUUUCAUUUCAUACCCUUCUCUUUACUUUAAAUUUUAUCAAAGUAAUACGUGUGCAGUCAGAUAGUAGUAAGAAAGUGUUUAACAGCAGUCCUCUGUCCCAUCUCCCUCUCCACCCCAGCAUACUUUUUCUUUUUUAGCUCACACUCUAUUUCUUUUUUUAAAUUUUAUUUUAUUCCUUUUUCUCCCCAAAGCCCCCCGGGUACAUAGUUGUAUAUUCUUCGUUGUGGGUCCUUCUAGUUGUGGCAUGUGGGACGCUGCCUCAGCGUGGUUUGAUGAGCAGUGCCAUGUCCGUGCCCAGGAUUCGAACCAACGAAACACUGGGCCGCCUGCAGCGGAGCACGCGAACUUAACCACUCGGCCAUGGGGCCAGCCCCUCACACUCUAUUUCUUGAUUUAGGAAUUCUAGACAUUGUUUACUGAUUUCCAAUUUUGAUUGAUGGAUUUAUUUUCUUUAUCUCCCCCUAACCUCUUUAAAUAGUAAAAUCACACUUUUUGGUUAAGUCUAUAUAGUACUUAGUAUUGACAUUUUGACUACAAAUAAAUGCUUCCUUUACGACUUUUUGUUUCUCCUGGCAUUUAGUCAUUGCCUUGCUUUUUCAUUUGGUCUGUUUUUACAUAGUGUACUUAUUAUUAAGUCUUUCCACAUAAGUUUAUUAAUACAUAUUCUGUUCACUCAAUCACAUGUAUUAGAUAACCCAUCCAUUUUCUCCCCUGGAGCCUUCCAUUCUGCUGCUCUGGUCUGCACCGCUGGCUGUCUCAGCCUGUGCACGGCUGUCUUUCUGGGACUUCUCUGCAUCAUCCGAAUUAUUCCCUUUACUUCUCCAUGUUGGAUCCUUGUUUCCUGGAGACUUUACUCCUUACUUGGUAAAGCACAUUCUUUGGUAGCGUCCCUUGAAAGCAUAGGAAAUAAAUUUUUCGAGAACUUGCAAAUCUGAAAAUGAUUGAGUUGAAAGGAAUUUUCCUUCAGAAUUUUUAAGACAUCACUCCAUUGUCUUUUAUCUUCCAGUGUUGCUAUCAAACGGUCAGUUUGAUCUCUUUUUCCUAAACCUUUGCACAUAACUUGUUUUUAUUCUCUCUUGAAGUCUUUAGGACAUUCUUUUUAUCUCUGGAGUUCUGAAAUUUCACGGUGAUAAGCCUUGGUGCUCAUUCACCGUGCUAGGCACUUGGUGAGCCCUUUCGAUCUGAAAAUUCAACAUUAUUUUCUUGAAUUUUUAAUAACAUCACUACCAUUUUUCCUGUUCUUUCUGUAACUCCUGUUGGAUAUUGGAACUUCUAGAUUGAUCCUUAAUUUUAUUUUUUUCUCCUUAAUCAUCCAUUUCUUUUUAUUUUUAAAUAAUUUAAUCUCUUUGCAAGAUUUUCUUAACAUCAUUUCCAAACUUUCUCCUAUCCAAUUCGAUAGGUAACAUAUUCACAAUUCAAAAUUCAAUUACAUAAGGAUGGACACACAGCCUCUCUCCUAUUUGGUUCUCUAGUCCUCCAGUUCUCAGAAGGAAAUAAUCCAUUUACUUAUUUUUAAUUUCUAACAACUCUUUUGUUCUCCAAUUGUUCCUUUUCAUAGUACUUUCUUCACAGACACAAUAUGUUCCCUCUUUGAGUUUUGAGAAUAAUAAUUAUGGCUUUUCCCCUCCUGAAAUUUUUAAAAAGCUUCCUUGGUUUCAAUUUUCUGUUUUGGUUUCUGCCUUUCAUGUUGGAAGUUUCCUCAAAUGUUUGAUGGCCCUUAACAAUCUAUUCACAGUUAAGAGUGACAUACUGGAAAGCUGAUUGCAAGUUCUAUCCAUGCAUAAGGCUUAUUAACUAACAGGCUUCACCGUAGGGUGAUGUAAGUGGGGGAAAGAUGACUUUUUCCUCCCCAAGGAAACAAAAAAUGUCAAGUAUUUGCAGGCCCUUUUUCUGCAGUUGUUCAGUUUGUUUUUGCCUGGGGGUAUAAGUCUGUGUGUGCUGAUACUCAGAGGCCUACCACGCAUAUACUUUCACUUAAUCCCUCAUUUUCAAUCUAGCCCCACCCUCAUGCUCCCCAUGUCUGCUGUUGAGUCCAGAGGCUCUACGAGCUUAUUUCAUUCACUAUGCCGGGAGCUCGUGGGCUGUCAGUCUGGGAGCACAUGAACUUUGGGUUUAGGAGACCUUUGUAAGUAUUUCUUUGAUAAUUUUCUCCCUACGGUUUCUCCAGAGACCAAAGUUCCCAUUUCUUGCAGGGGAGAAGUU